GGUGGCUCAGAGGUAGAGCGCUUGCCUUGCAAGCCUGAGGCCUGGGUUCGAUUCCUCAGCACCA
Non-coding RNA from Dipodomys ordii (Ord's kangaroo rat), 64 nucleotides. NCBI's taxonomy places the organism in Eukaryota, Metazoa, Chordata, Mammalia, Rodentia, Heteromyidae. The record is from Rfam.